GACGGAGGAUGCAAGCGUUAUCCGGAAUUAUUGGGCGUAAAGAGCGUGUAGGCGGCCCGAUUAGUCCGCUGUGAAAGUCCAGGGCUCAACCCUGGAAUGCCGGUGGAUACUGCAGGGCUAGAGUCCGGAAGAGGCGAGUGGAAUUCCUGGUGUAGCGGUGAAAUGCGCAGAUAUCAGGAGGAACACCGAUGGCGAAGGCAGCUCGCUGGGACGGUACUGACGCUGAGGCGCGAAAGCCAGGGGAGCGAACGGG
This 253-nucleotide ribosomal RNA is filed under the name uncultured bacterium. RNAcentral describes it as "partial 16S ribosomal RNA". It matches the Rfam family "Bacterial small subunit ribosomal RNA", at positions 524 to 776 of the family's 1533-position model. The record is from RNAcentral.